Molecule: ribosomal RNA, 862 nt
Filed under: Fervidobacterium thailandense
Lineage: Bacteria; Thermotogati; Thermotogota; Thermotogae; Thermotogales; Fervidobacteriaceae
Description: bacterial SSU rRNA
Rfam family: Bacterial small subunit ribosomal RNA
Source: RNAcentral
UACGUAGGGGGCGAGCGUUACCCGGAAUUACUGGGCGUAAAGGGUGCGUAGGCGGCCCCGUGUGUCCGGUGUAAAAGCCCACGGCUCAACCGUGGAUAUGCGCUGGAAACUGCGGGGCUUGGGUGCGGCAGAGGCAGACGGAACUGCUGGUGUAGGGGUGAAAUCCGUAGAUAUCAGCAGGAACGCCGGUGGAGAAGUCGGUCUGCUGGGCCGUAACCGACGCUGAGGCACGAAAGCUAGGGGAGCGAACCGGAUUAGAUACCCGGGUAGUCCUAGCCGUAAACGAUGCUCACUAGGUGUGGGGCGUAAAGCUCCGUGCUGAAGCUAACGCGUUAAGUGAGCCGCCUGGGGAGUACGCCCGCAAGGGUGAAACUCAAAGGAAUUGACGGGGGCCCGCACAAGCGGUGGAGCGUGUGGUUUAAUUGGAAGCUAAGCCAAGAACCUUACCAGGGCUUGACAUGCUGGUGGUACCGAGCCGAAAGGUGAGGGACCCUGCCGUUUGGUAGGGAGCCAGCACAGGUGGUGCACGGUCGUCGUCAGCUCGUGCCGUGAGGUGUUGGGUUAAGUCCCGCAACGAGCGCAACCCCUGCCCUUAGUUGCCAGCGCGUAAGGCGGGCACUCUAAGGGGACUGCCGGCGACGAGCCGGAGGAAGGAGGGGAUGACGUCAGAUACUCGUGCCCCUUAUGCCCUGGGCGACACACGCGCUACAAUGGGGUGGACAGCGGGACGCGAGCCAGCAAUGGUGAGCAAAUCCCUUAAACCACCCCCCAGUUCAGAUUGUGGGCUGCAACCCGCCCACAUGAAGCCGGAAUCGCUAGUAAUCGCGGAUCAGCCAUGCCGCGGUGAAUACGUUCCCGGGCC